This 344-nucleotide unclassified non-coding RNA is filed under the name soil metagenome. RNAcentral's name for it is "partial contains 5.8S ribosomal RNA, internal transcribed spacer 2, and large subunit ribosomal RNA". The stretch from base 1 to 120 matches the Rfam family "5.8S ribosomal RNA", at positions 35 to 154 of the family's 154-position model. The record is from RNAcentral.
GAUGAAGAACGUAGCGAAAUGCGAUAAGUAAUGUGAAUUGCAGAAUUCAGUGAAUCAUCGAAUCUUUGAACGCACAUUGUGCCCGCCAGUAUUCUGGCGGGCAUGCCUGUUCGAGCGUCAUUUCAACCCUCAAGCCCCCGGGCUUGGUGUUGGGGAUCGGCGUGCCCUCGCGGCGCGCCGUCCCCUAAAUCUAGUGGCGGUCUCGCUGUAGCUUCCUCUGCGUAGUAGCAACACUCGCACUGGAUCGCAGCGCGGCCACGCCGUUAAACCCCCCACUUCUGAAAGUUUGACCUCGGAUCAGGUAGGAAUACCCGCUGAACUUAAGCAUAUCAAUAAGCGGAGGA